Molecule: long non-coding RNA, 2789 nt
Filed under: Triticum aestivum (bread wheat)
Lineage: Eukaryota; Viridiplantae; Streptophyta; Magnoliopsida; Poales; Poaceae
Description: long non-coding RNA (TAES_LNC025367)
Source: RNAcentral
CUCCAUGUUCCUUCCCAACCCUUCUCCCGCAGGCUCCAACCGUGGUGGUGGGGGGCGAGCAGCUGCCGUCCGGUGGCCUGGGAAGUGAGGAGGGCGCCGGUCUAAAGCACGAGAGCUCGACGCUUGGCGACAGUACAGAUCAGUUACAGCGGUGGCGAUGGCCCAAAGGCAAAAGGGGAUGGCUGCAUGAUGAUCUUGUUCUGAUCAAUUCUGAAAUAGGAAUGGGGGACUACCGUGGUGGUCGCUGUUGAGGAUGCUGGGUUACCUGACAGUAGGUAUGCUAUUUCAGAAUUAUUGGUUGGACGUACAGUCUCAAAGUCUCAACCUAGCAAGAACACUUUCAUGCUGAUACAUUUUUUUGUCUGAAAAAAUAUGUAGUCCUUUUUGUCUUGGAACAAUAUAAAUUCUGGAGCAUGAACUGAAGAGAGGAUACUUAAACAUGUAUGUGCUGAAAGGCAAAUUACUUUGGAAGUUUAUUGUAACUGGUAUACAGUUUUGGCAGUAAAAGCGCGAGCGCCGUGAGGGAUGCCAAGCAAGUUCCUGCUACGUAAAAAAAGGUUUCAAAAUUUUUGUUUCUUAAAUCACCUCAAAGAGAUGUGUGUUUUAUACUUCUUUUUGUAGAAGGAUGUGCUCAGCGACACAUCAAAUUAUUAACAUGAGCUUUAUGUAGAUGAUUUUGAUUUAUAAGUUGUUCAAAAAUAAUACUGACUGCAGUUGUCUUACUCCAGAUCGUGAAGAAAUACACUUUGUCUUAUGAGAUCAGCCUGAUUGUCAUCAAAAGCAAAUGUCCCUAAACAAGCAAUAUGCAUUUAUGUGCUCUGACAUCUUCGUGUUACUUUUAGUGGAAAGCAGUACAAAGUGCAAAUUUCACAUGCCAAUACUAAUUAUUCACCUAGCUUAUGCAAAUUAUCCAGCAUUUUCCGUUCAGAUAUGAUCUGCUGCAAACACCAUAAGUCACCACUCACCAGCACAUGACCGUUCCCUCUAGAACUUUGACCGUCGUGUCAUUUGAUUGAGAAAGAACAAGGUGGCCGAGCGACAAACUGAACAAUGUCGGAAAGCUGCAACAAACGAGUGGUGGCAGCGCAUACGCUUGUUGAACUGUGGAGGCACCCAUGCGCGUGCAUAUUUUUUCUAGCAAUUCAACGUUUUAUUCUCUUAAUAGAACCUCAAUAAUCCACAUUCCAAAAGUUUCACAUUUACUUGCCUAUGAAGAUAUUCUUUCUACCUUUAAUAAACCAAAAGAUGACUGGUUUUUCUUCUAUCACAUUUACUAAUUCUUUCACUUUUUAGUUUUGCUUUGGAGACUAAGCUUAAAAUUUUCUGACACAAUUAUCUCUAAAGUCUGGGCCAAUCUUAUUUUUCUAAUUUUUGACAUAGUGAUAUAUUUUAAGACAACGGCUGGUCAACUUAUCUUCUUUAUAUGUGAUCCUGAGCUGAUUUGAAGGUCCCAUUUUUCUUGAGUGGCAGGCUGGUGAGCAGGACGAGGACCAUAGUCCAGGGAGUGUUUGAUUUCAAGAGAGAUCAUUGGGAUUGGGGACGAGUUCAUAACCAUGUUCCUGUCAAGUUUUAGCAAUAUGGUCCAGAGAGUGGUAAUUACUUGGUUAAACAAACAUCUUCCAGUCUUGAUAUGCCUUUUCACUUUUGAUUAUUUGUGAGAACUUUUAGUACGUGUCCUUGUCAACGCUAGAACUACUGACAACUUUGAAGCAAAAUUAUUCAGAGAAAUUGUUCCAUGGAAGAAGUUAAACGAAGAUGCUAUGAUGCUAUUAUUCAUUGAUUGUUUGCGAGAUACAGAGAUAGAUAUAUUGAAGUUUGUAAUGGCUAAUGGCCAAACAUAUGAAUCUGUUCUUGAUACUCCUUUUCCCUUUUCUUAAUAUCAUCACAUAAAAAUUAGAAGCUUUCUAACAUAUGCAUAUUUCAGGUUUCAGAAGAGGUAGAGAAAGCGAUGUUCAGACAAUUUAGUGCAGAAGCAACACCUCCAAGAUGAGAAAAAUGUUUCUAUUUAGCCUUCUUUGCUAGCUGUGUUCCUCUGUUUUUUUUUACUGAAGUUGGUUGCCAGAUUAAUGCAUAGUAGGUGAGUGCUUCAGGCUGUAGAUUUGGCUCGCUUCCUGAGUACCUCCUGUCUCAUGUGGUUAGAGCUAUGCGAGUAAUUAUGAAGGCUUGAUCACCAGGAAACAUCCAUGUCAAUUAUGUGUUCGCUGAAUUUCCUUAAGCAUAUGGGAUUCAGUUGUUUGAUGAAUUGCCCCCAAAAGGUUUUGAUGAAUUUCCUUAAGUAGGCUUCUUUUCAUAAUUAAUAUCAAUAGAUCUUGCUUUAUCAGUACACGUGAAUGUAAGGAUCUGUACUAUUAGUUGAUGGUUUGGCAAGUAAUGUAAAUCUUCCAAUUGACGAUUCUCUAGGAUUCUGAAGUCUAAGUUUCUCUCUUUCCAUCCCUGUAGGGUUAUCCUGGUUUUGUUAGCAUCAUAACUCUCAGUGAAUAUAAGUCCAUUGUUUCCUUUUUAUUGGUAUGUGAGAAAAGUGGAUGUGCAUGCCUCCAGUCAAACAAAGACUGAAUCUUACUGUAAAGCAAAUUCAAACCCAUUGAGACUAGCUUUUCCAAGACUUAAAUUAUUGAGAGUGUCACUUUUAUACAUCAUGAUUGGUGCUACAGUUAUACUUAACAUACAAAAGCAUUCAUAUCUUGCUGGAAGCUGUGCUUCUCUGCUUCAUACAUGUUUUUUGAUGUGCAAUGCUGCCACUUACUACAUUGCCUGCCACAUGCUCCGACGGAUGGCUCAGUUAUGUAGCG